CAGCAGCCGCGGUAAAACGUAGGGUGCAAGCGUUAAUCGGAAUUACUGGGCGCAAAGCGUGCGCAGGCGGUUCGCUAAGACAGAUGUGAAAUCCCCGGGCUUAACCUGGGAACUGCAUUUGUGACUGGCGGGCUAGAGUAUGGCAGAGGGGGGUAGAAUUCCACGUGUAGCAGUGAAAUGCGUAGAGAUGUGGAGGAAUACCGAUGGCGAAGGCAGCCCCCUGGGCCAAUACUGACGCUCAUGCACGAAAGCGUGGGGAGCAAACAGGAUUAGAUACCCGUGUAGUCCCUGUCUCUUAUAC
Molecule: ribosomal RNA, 301 nt
Filed under: uncultured bacterium
Lineage: Bacteria
Description: partial 16S ribosomal RNA
Rfam family: Bacterial small subunit ribosomal RNA
Source: RNAcentral